GAUGAACGCUGGCGGCGUGCCUAAUACAUGCAAGUCGAGCGAACAGACGAGGAGUUUGCUCCUCUGACGUUAGCGGCGGACGGGUGAGUAACACGUGGAUAACCUACCUAUAAGACUGGGAUAACUUCGGGAAACCGGAGCUAAUACCGGAUAAUAUAUUGAACCGCAUGGUUCAAUAGUGAAAGACGGUUUUGCUGUCACUUAUAGAUGGAUACGCGCCGCAUUAGCUAGUUGGUAAGGUAACGGCUUACCAAGGCAACGAUGCGUAGCCGACCUGAGAGGGGGAUCGGCCACACGGGAACUGAGACACGGUCCAGACUCCUACGGGGGGCAGCAGUAGGGAAUCUUCCGCAAUGGGCGAAAGCCUGACGGAGCAACGCCGCGUGAGUGAUGAAGGUCUUCGGAUCGUAAAACUCUGUUAUUAGGGAAGAACAAAUGUGUAAGUAACUAUGCACGUCUUGACGGUACCUAAUCAGAAAGCCACGGCUAACUACGUG
This 497-nucleotide ribosomal RNA is filed under the name uncultured bacterium. Its description in RNAcentral is "partial 16S ribosomal RNA". It matches the Rfam family "Bacterial small subunit ribosomal RNA", at positions 28 to 507 of the family's 1533-position model. The record is from RNAcentral.